UACAGAGGUCUCAAGCGUUGUUCGGAUUCAUUGGGCGUAAAGGGUGCGUAGGUGGCGCGCUAAGUCAGGUGUGAAAUCUCGGGGCUUAACUCCGAAACUGCAUUUGAUACUGGCGUGCUUGAGGACUGGAGAGGAGACUGGAAUUCAUGGUGUAGCAGUGAAAUGCGUAGAGAUCAUGAGGAAGACCAGUGGCGAAGGCGAGUCUCUGGACAUUUCCUGACGCUGAGGCACGAAAGCUAGGGGAGCAAACAGG
RNAcentral lists this ribosomal RNA (253 nucleotides) under uncultured bacterium. RNAcentral describes it as "partial 16S ribosomal RNA". It matches the Rfam family "Bacterial small subunit ribosomal RNA", at positions 524 to 776 of the family's 1533-position model. The record is from RNAcentral.